UGCAUUCACUACUGUAAAUCGCUCUGGAUAAGAGCGUCUGCUAAAUUAAUAAAU
Molecule: non-coding RNA, 54 nt
Organism: Salmo salar (Atlantic salmon)
Lineage: Eukaryota; Metazoa; Chordata; Actinopteri; Salmoniformes; Salmonidae
Source: Rfam